UACGUAGGGACCAAGCGUUGUUCGGAUUUACUGGGCGUAAAGGGCGCGUAGGCGGCGUGACAAGUCACUUGUGAAAUCUCUGGGCUUAACCCAGAACGGCCAAGUGAAACUGUCGUGCUAGAGUGCGGAAGGGGCAAUCGGAAUUCUCGGUGUAGCGGUGAAAUGCGUAGAUAUCGAGAGGAACACCUGAGGUGAAGACGGGUUGCUGGGCCGACACUGACGCUGAGUGCGCGAAAGCCAGGGGAGCGAACGGG
This 254-nucleotide ribosomal RNA is filed under the name uncultured bacterium. Its description in RNAcentral is "partial 16S ribosomal RNA". It matches the Rfam family "Bacterial small subunit ribosomal RNA", at positions 524 to 776 of the family's 1533-position model. The record is from RNAcentral.